CGAGAUCGCGCAGGAACUUACAGGGCUUGAAAGUUAGUGACCGCUCCUGAAGGGAGCUUUCCGCAAGGACACGAAACUAGGUGCUGCAUGGCUGUCGUCAGCUCGUGCCGGGAGGUGUUGGGUUAAGUCCCGCAACGAGCGCAACCCCUACCAUUAUUUGCCAACAGGUAAAGCUGGGGACUCUAAUGGAACUGCCCGCGCAAGCGGAGAGGAAGGUGGGGAUGACGUCAAGUCAUCACGGCCCUUACGUCCUGGGCUACACACGUGCUACAAUGGUUACUACAGAGGGCAGCUACACAGUAAUGUGAUGCAAAUCUUUGAAAAGUAAUCUCAGUUCGGAUUGGGGUCUGCAACUCGACCUCAUGAAGCUGGAUUCGCUAGUAAUCGCGCAUCAUCAAUGGCGAGGUGAAUACGUUCCCGGGCAAAA
Molecule: ribosomal RNA, 427 nt
Filed under: uncultured bacterium
Lineage: Bacteria
Description: bacterial SSU rRNA
Rfam family: Bacterial small subunit ribosomal RNA
Source: RNAcentral